GGUCAGUCUGAGCUGCUUUAAGGUUCCAACAGCUUGUCUCUAGAUUUUCUUUGUUCACAACAUUUUGUGCUGACUUUGCAGUCAGUAUAAAACCGAUAAUAUACUUUGGUGCAUCGGUGGGUGGACUAAUUGGACAUACUCUAGAGUACGUUUUGUAAGUGGCCGUAAAUAAAAUAAGCUACUGGAAUGUAAGAUCAAGUCCUGCAGUUGAUUUUUCCAUCUCUGAUAUUGUCUCUGGGAGUUCUGUCUCCACAGCAGGGAUGAAGACACUAGGCUCGUGCAGAACAGACAUGUAGUUUGUUCACAGAAGGCUAUACCACAGAUGUCUGUGUUCACUAUGAAGGCUUUUUCUCCACAUUGGAAGCUUACCCUUCAGGCUUGUAAGCCCAGCCCUCCCCAGCAGACCUUACGGUGUGGCGUUCAGCUGCAGAACAGUCCUUGAGCUGCUCCCCUCAAGGAAUUAAGGAGGUCUUCAGCGUUGCAUAGUAUGAAUGAAUGAAGGUCUUCCCUACCCUCUGCCUUAUUUUCUUUGUGUAGCUGGUCUCUAGUGUCACUGAGGUAAGGAGUGAUAAUGUAUCCCAGCACUUCUGGUCCAUUUACAGACAAAAAUGCAUGCAAUCUUUGAAGUAAUACUGUAAUGCUUUAUGGAAAAGAGCCUGCUCUGUGAGUCUCUAAGUAAUUCUCCAUAUGCUCUUAUAAAAUUCCUGCCCUUCUUACAAGUAAUUCACCCCUUGGCUUGGUAGGCAUUUACUUGUAAUUUCUAGGAAACCCAACUCCUGCCUUCCACAUAAUUUCCCUAUUGCUUUUUAGGAUUAUUUCCUGUCUGCUCUCUAGUAAUUGUCCCAGUGCUUCACAGUAAUUUUCUCCCAUGAGUUUCAGCAAUUUUCAGUGUCUUUUCUAGAAAUUCCCACUUCAAUUUCCAGGAAUUUCCCUAUACUAUCCAAUAAUUCUCCUUGUCCCCUUCCCAAGAACAUUCCUCCUGGUUUUUUAGAUUCUUCCUUGUAUUUUCUGAAAAAUCUCCCUUCUGGACAGUAAUUCUCCAGGGACUCUGCAGGCUCUUCACUCUGCCCUUUGUAUUUGGUAUUUCAUUUUAUGCAUUUUAGAAAAAUCUCCUUGUGCUUUCUAGGCAUUCCCUCUGCCUUCUAGGAGUUUUCUUUGCACUUUCC
RNAcentral lists this long non-coding RNA (1166 nucleotides) under Chrysolophus pictus (golden pheasant). RNAcentral's name for it is "lncRNA (ENSCPIG00010014528.1)". The record is from RNAcentral. Lineage: Eukaryota; Metazoa; Chordata; Aves; Galliformes; Phasianidae.